GGGGGAUAUUGCACAAUGGACGGAAGUCUGAUGCAGCGACGCCGCGUGGGGGAUGAAGGCUUUCGGGUUGUAAACCUCUUUUAUUCCUGAACAAGGCUUGGAUUGUUGUCUGGGUUGAGGGUAGGGGGUGAAUAAGCGCCGGCUAACUACGUGCCAGCAGCCGCGGUAAUACGUAGGGCGCGAGCGUUGUCCGGAUUUAUUGGGCGUAAAGAGCUCGUAGGCGGUUUGUUGCGUCUGCUGUGAAAACGCGGGGCUUAACUUCGCGCGUGCAGUGGGUACGGGCAGGCUAGAGUGCGGUAGGGGAGAUUGGAAUUCCUGGUGUAGCGGUGGAAUGCGCAGAUAUCAGGAGGAACACCGAUGGCGAAGGCAGGUCUCUGGAGUGUAACUGACGCUGAUGCUCGAAAGUGUGGGUAUCAAACA
RNAcentral lists this ribosomal RNA (420 nucleotides) under uncultured Actinomycetaceae bacterium. RNAcentral's name for it is "bacterial SSU rRNA". It matches the Rfam family "Bacterial small subunit ribosomal RNA", at positions 356 to 774 of the family's 1533-position model. Lineage: Bacteria; Bacillati; Actinomycetota; Actinomycetes; Actinomycetales; Actinomycetaceae. The record is from RNAcentral.